Aquila chrysaetos chrysaetos is the source of this 458-nucleotide long non-coding RNA. RefSeq lists it as uncharacterized. The transcript has 3 exons. Lineage: Eukaryota; Metazoa; Chordata; Aves; Accipitriformes; Accipitridae. The record is from RefSeq and is a predicted model, not a curated record.
GAAGAUAUGGGCAGCUGACUCCUGCUGAUCACCCCAGAUGAAUGAGUCAAGCCUUACUUAAAAAAACCAGUGUGUCAUGGUGUGGGGAGGAAAAAUGGAGAUUGCAGCAGGCUUUAUGGCUUUCCACACAUCUAUUAUUAGUUUGAUCUGUCUGUUAAUAAAGCCACCAUCCAGGCCCAUGAGCCAUCCAAUGGAGGAGCUGAUUCUCCUGCUUCAGAAUGGAACUCUCAGCCUGUGUGAUCUGUGGGUAUGAGCCAUACCCAAAUGUCUUCUCAGCUGUACAUUUCAUGCUGAAGGCAGGGGAAGCCAUGUGCUGUGCUGUGGUACCUUCUGAGUCAUUAUCAGUAUAUGAUGUAACCUUGGAAGAAGGACAAGAUCAGACUCUCCUUGGCAUGGUGGGUAACAUAAUCAGAUGAUAUAUGAUGCAUCGGGUGGGAUUACUGUGAUCAAAUAAGCAU